ACCUUGGACGUGGAGCUCUUUGGGACGUGGAACUCCUUGGGACUCGCAUCCCAAGGGAUGGGCGUGUAGAACGCCCAAAAGAAGAAAAAGGGAGAAGAAGAGAGGGCGUGGGAAGAGCCUUUGGAUGUGAGGGGCUACUAGUUUGGAUACUCUAGGGACCUUAGGAGAGGUCCCUUUAAAUAAGUAUGAGGAUUGAAUUCUAUUCAAUCUCAUAAUAUAAGUCC
This 224-nucleotide long non-coding RNA is filed under the name Elaeis guineensis (African oil palm). Its description in RNAcentral is "long non-coding RNA (EGUI_LNC056619)". Lineage: Eukaryota; Viridiplantae; Streptophyta; Magnoliopsida; Arecales; Arecaceae. The record is from RNAcentral.